GACGAACGCUGGCGGCGUGCCUAAUACAUGCAAGUAGAACGCUGAAGCGAGGAGCUUGCUCUUCUUGGAUGAGUUGCGAACGGGUGAGUAACGCGUAGGUAACCUGCCUUGUAGCGGGGGAUAACUAUUGGAAACGAUAUCUAAUACCGCAUAACAAUGGAUGACACAUGGCAUUUAUUUGAAAGGGGCAAUUGCUCCACUACAAGAUGGACCUGCGUUGUAUUAGCUAGUAGGUGAGGUAAUGGCUCACCUAGGCGACGAUACAUAGCCGACCUGAGAGGGUGAUCGGCCACACUGGGACGGAGACACGGCCCAGACUCCUAGGGGAGGCAGCAGUAGGGAAUCUUCGGCAAGGGGGGCAACCCUGACCGAGCAACGCCGCGUGAGGGAAGAAGGUUUUCGGAUCGUAAAGCUCUGUUGUAAGUCAAGAACGGGUGUGAGAGUGGAAAGUUCACACUGUGACGGUAGCUUACCAGAAAGGGACGGCUAACUACGUG
This 497-nucleotide ribosomal RNA is filed under the name uncultured bacterium. Its description in RNAcentral is "partial 16S ribosomal RNA". It matches the Rfam family "Bacterial small subunit ribosomal RNA", at positions 28 to 507 of the family's 1533-position model. The record is from RNAcentral.